RNAcentral lists this ribosomal RNA (309 nucleotides) under uncultured eukaryote. RNAcentral's name for it is "partial 18S ribosomal RNA". It matches the Rfam family "Eukaryotic small subunit ribosomal RNA", at positions 1470 to 1796 of the family's 1831-position model. The record is from RNAcentral.
CCCUUAGAUGUUCUGGGCGGCCCGCGCACUACAAUGGCGUGUGCAGCGAGUGCCGAAGUAGAGUUUUCCGAGGUAUUCUUGCAAUGCUCGUUUUGAUGGGGAUAGACCCUUGCAACUGUUGGUUUUGAACGAGGAAUUCCUUGUAAGCAUGGUUUAUCAUCCGACGCUGAAUGCGUCCCUGCCCUUUGUACACACCACCCGUCGCUCCUACCGAUGAGUCGUCCGGUGAAGUUCGUAGACCUCGUGAUCGCGGAUCACUGGGGGAAGCAAAAUGAACCUCGCGGUUUAGAGGAAGGAGAAGUCGUAACA